Non-coding RNA from Rattus norvegicus (Norway rat), 72 nucleotides. The record is from Rfam. Lineage: Eukaryota; Metazoa; Chordata; Mammalia; Rodentia; Muridae.
GGGGAUUUAGUUCAGUGGUAGAAUGCUUGCCUAGCAAGCGCAAGGCCCUGGGUUCGGCCCCCAGCUCCCCCC